UACGUAGGGUGCAAGCGUUGUCCGGAAUUAUUGGGCGUAAAGAGCGUGUAGGCGGCCAGGUAGGUCGGUUGUGAAAACUGGAGGCUCAACCUUCAGAGGUCGACCGAAACCAUCUGGCUAGAGUCCGGGAGAGGAGAGUGGAAUUCCUGGUGUAGCGGUGAAAUGCGCAGAUAUCAGGAAGAACACCCGUGGUGAAAGCGGCUCUCUGGAACGGUACUGACGCUGAGACGCGAAAGCGUGGGGAGCGAACAGG
RNAcentral lists this ribosomal RNA (253 nucleotides) under uncultured bacterium. RNAcentral's name for it is "partial 16S ribosomal RNA". It matches the Rfam family "Bacterial small subunit ribosomal RNA", at positions 524 to 776 of the family's 1533-position model. The record is from RNAcentral.